RNAcentral lists this long non-coding RNA (244 nucleotides) under Mytilus galloprovincialis (Mediterranean mussel). The record is from RNAcentral. Lineage: Eukaryota; Metazoa; Mollusca; Bivalvia; Mytilida; Mytilidae.
UGCAAUAGGAAAAUGUCGGCAUAAAAACCUGAAUUUCCUACUUAGUGAGUUUCGUGGGAUAUUGCAAUGUUGCGUAAUUAUCAAAACCGAAUUUAUAAAUCAAGCAGUUUAUGUAAAACAAAUUAAAUACACACACAGUUUUUUUUUGUAAUCUACAGGGAUAACAACGUAUAUGUCAUGGAGGUAGGACAUCGUUUGCAACAUUUGGGUCUUCAAAGAUUGAUGAAGCAUGUGUAUACCAUAG